UUGCAAUGAUGACGAUCUUAGGACACCUUUGGAAUUCUCCAUGAAAACAACUUUAUUAAUCUGAGCAAC
Molecule: small nucleolar RNA, 69 nt
Organism: Ictalurus furcatus (blue catfish)
Lineage: Eukaryota; Metazoa; Chordata; Actinopteri; Siluriformes; Ictaluridae
Product: small nucleolar RNA SNORD58
Exons: 1
Source: RefSeq, a predicted model, not a curated record